RNAcentral lists this ribosomal RNA (321 nucleotides) under uncultured Pseudomonas sp. RNAcentral describes it as "bacterial SSU rRNA". It matches the Rfam family "Bacterial small subunit ribosomal RNA", at positions 1060 to 1382 of the family's 1533-position model. The record is from RNAcentral. Lineage: Bacteria; Pseudomonadati; Pseudomonadota; Gammaproteobacteria; Pseudomonadales; Pseudomonadaceae.
UCGUGUCGUGAGAUGUUGGGUUAAGUCCGUACGAGCGCAACCCUUGUCCUUAGUUACCAGCACGUUAUGGUGGGCACUCUAAGGAGACUGCCGGUGACAAACCGGAGGAAGGUGGGGAUGACGUCAAGCCAUCAUGGCCCUUACGGCCUGGGCUACACACGUGCUACAAUGGUCGGUACAAAGGGUUGCCAAGCCGCGAGGUGGAGCUAAUCCCAUAAAACCGAUCGUAGUCCGGAUCGCAGUCUGCAACUCGACUGCGUGAAGUCGGAGUCGCUAGUAAUCGUGAAUCAGAAUGUCACGGUGAAUACGUUCCCGGGCCUU